This 381-nucleotide transfer-messenger RNA is filed under the name Mycoplasma crocodyli MP145. It matches the Rfam family "transfer-messenger RNA". Rfam says of the family: Bacterial tmRNA, also known as 10Sa RNA or SsrA, is named for its dual tRNA and mRNA-like properties. Its role is to liberate the mRNA from a stalled ribosome. To accomplish this part of the tmRNA is used as a reading frame that ends in a translation stop signal. RNAcentral also lists the same sequence under 1 other name. The record is from Rfam by way of RNAcentral. Lineage: Bacteria; Bacillati; Mycoplasmatota; Mollicutes; Mycoplasmatales; Mycoplasmataceae.
GGGGUUGUAAUGGCUUCGACAUGCACAGGAUAAUAUUUAAUGCAGUAGUGUUGCAGACUAUAAUUGCUCUAGGUUUCAAUAAACGGAAAAUCUAAAAAAGCUGAAAAUGAAUUUUCAUUUUCAAACCCAGCUUUUGCUGGAAACUUAAAUCUUGCUUUUGCUUAAUUAAAAGUAAGUUGCACUCUUUGAUGCUCUUAGAAGAAGUGUAGGUUAAGAGCACUUAUCCAAGGAUUCUAAUUAAUUGGAAUAAGUAUUUUUAGAACAUAUUAAUUAGUGUUUGUUUAUUCAUUCAUUAAUAUGCAAAAUCAAAAUAAACUAAACUGUAGAUUUGGGUAGGACUUUUGUGUGUGGACCCGGGUUCGACUCCCGGCAGCUCCACCA